This is an RNA transcript of Aethina tumida (small hive beetle), 1291 nucleotides long. It is a transcript of the gene named mitochondrial import inner membrane translocase subunit TIM14, with no coding region annotated. The transcript has 5 exons. The record is from RefSeq and is a predicted model, not a curated record. NCBI's taxonomy places the organism in Eukaryota, Metazoa, Arthropoda, Insecta, Coleoptera, Nitidulidae.
AUGAAUGUUUACUGCAACAACAAACAAAACAUUUCAUCUUUUACUUUAUUCCUUAGAUUGAAUUUAGUCUAUACAGAACAAUAAUAUCCUAGAUGAAGGCUUGGAUAUAUAUAAAAUGUUAAAGAAACUUGAAAAAGUGCUGUCUCCAGAUGAAUAUGAAGUUUUACGUUUAUCCAAUAUACCAAGUCUAGAUUUUAUUAUAAAUACUCCAAUCAGAGAUCUACACGCCCUAACUAAUUUACCAUACAAGAACUUAGAGGACAUCAUAAAGAAAACAUCAGCUGUAAUAGGUCCAAAAUUUGUAACAGCUUUUGACUUACCUGAGUGGGAAAAACUUUCUACAGGUUGUAAGGCCAUUGAUUUUAUUACAAAAGGAGGAAUACCAUUCAAUGGCAUUAAUGAAAUAGUAGGGUGUUCUGGCGUUGGCAAAACACAACUUUGUUUACAAUUAUCAAUAAUGUGUCAACUUCCUCUGCAUUUAAAUGGCAAACAAAGAGGUGUUGUGUAUAUAAACACAGAAAAACCUUUUCCUUCAUUUAGAUUUAAUGAACUUGUUGAAUGCUAUAAGGAGAAAUAUAAUAUUGAUAUUGAUUUACAAAAAAAUGUUUUCCUACAACACAUUUCCAAUUACAGUCAAAUAAAGAAAACCUUACAUGUUUUGCUGCCCAAUUUUUUAACAUAUAAUGAUGUGGGUUUGAUUAUUAUUGAUUCAAUAGCUGGAAUCUUCAGGACAGAAGAAGAGGAUGUUGUUUACACUAACCGAACCCAACAAUUCAUAGACAUUGUAACUAAAUUAAAUCAACUAUCAAAAUCUUUUAACAUUUGUAUUGUUUGUGUUAAUCAUGUAACAGACAAUUUAAAUACCUCAGAAACUGUCCCUGGUUUAGGUUUAUCAUGGACCAACUUAGUAAAUUGCAGAUUUAACUUAACACGAUUUGAGGGUACUUAUAUAAGGCAAUUUGAAAUAAUUUUUAGUCCACAUUUGGAAAACAAUUCAUGCAAUUUUAUUAUUGAAGCCGAAGGAAUUUGUUGCACAGAUAUUUAAAUCAUCCGUAAAAUUCUUACAGUUGGUAACAAUGUUCGUCAAAUUAAAUGUCAUUUAGUUCAAAAUCUCACAUUGUAAAUAAAUGCGACCUAAUCCUUUGAAGAUGAACGGGAUUAUAUUAGCAGGACUGGGUUUGGCUGCUGUUGGUUUUGCAGGCCGAUAUGCAGUCAGACAACUGCCCAAUGUUACAAAAACGGUGAAUGAAGCAAUGAAAAAUCUACCAAAAUUUGAUGCUGAAUCUAUGGC